This is a long non-coding RNA of Bacillus rossius redtenbacheri, 5166 nucleotides long. RefSeq lists it as uncharacterized. NCBI's taxonomy places the organism in Eukaryota, Metazoa, Arthropoda, Insecta, Phasmatodea, Bacillidae. The transcript is spliced from 3 exons. The record is from RefSeq and is a predicted model, not a curated record.
GGCUCACUCAGGCGGAGGCUAUGCGUCUCACCUGUGGUCACGAGUUGUUAGUUCGUUCGUGAUGUAGGAAUUCAGGCUCACUCAGGCGGAGGCUAUGCGUCUCACCUGUGGUCACGAGUUGUUAGUUCGUUCGUGAUGUAGGAAUUCAAGCUUUCGGGCGGAAGCUAUGGCCGACGCCAGAGGCCACGAGUCGUUUAAUUUAAGUUAGGUCAUAAUGUAGUCAUCUUCAAGCUUUCGGGCGGAGGCUAUGGCCCUCGUCAGGGGUCACGCGUCAUAGUUUUUAAAAUGUAAUGUUCGUUCGGGAUUUCAAGGGCAGGAGAGGCCCCUACGUUAUUUUUUUAAAGUAAUCGAUCAAGAAAGGCUUUUCGGAAAAUGUGAGUAUGGACUUAUCUUUGUUUUAAUUUUAAGUAUUAAUUAUGAUUUGAGGUAUUCGGAAGGACUAGGGAAGUGUUUAGUGAAGUUCUCUCAUUCUCUCUCUUGUAAGGUCGUUCAAUCGUUAAGGAAGUAAAGAGAUUAUUGUUUUAAAUUGUAAUCCCGCUAUUUAAAUGUUCUUUAAAAUGAUGUUGAGUAUUUGACUUUAAGAAUAAAAUAAUUUUAAUUAAGUAUUAUGUUAUUUUGCAAAAUCUCCUUAGUUCAGCUCUCACCAGACAUCCUGUACGGGAUGACGAACCUAUGAUCCUAGGUACAGUAAAGUAUUUUAUGAAGUUAAGACUAGUUGAUGCCAAGCGAGUUGUUUCUAUGUAAAGAGCUACGAUUCUCGCCCCCCCCCCUCUGAAGGUGGAUCGUGACAGAAAUGGCGGUGGCACCGGCUAGGUGCACGUGAAAGAAAUGGUAGAGUUCGCCGGAUAGGUUCUAUUUCUGGAGAGAGAGAGAGGUAGAUUUUUAUGUUUAUUAUUAAGUUAGUUUCAGCUUCUGAUAGCAGGUUAUUAAGAGUUUACUUGAGGAGAGGAUUACGGAAUUUUAGUCUAUAGUGGAGGAAGUCUUUGAGAUUUUUUUUUUGACGUAACAGAUGUUUAUUUGAGGAUACUUGUAAGGAUAAAGUUUAUAGUGAUAAGUUGUUUUAAGUCGUUGAAUUUAUUGUAGAUUUAUAUCGGGGAUUAUUACGUGAGGAGAAUACGUUAUAAGUUAAAUGCUUAUUAGAGAUAAUGCAAGUGGUUUAAUUUAAUUGAAGUUCAUUUUAAGAUUGUAGGUUAAGAGAAUUAUAAUUUAAAAUAAAGUUUUUUGUCGUAAAUAGGAAUUAUUUUCAAGAGAAGUUUGUUUUGUUUUCGUGCGCGUAGGAGACGAGACGUACGAAUUAAAUCAGUCGAGGGAAGGAUAAACGUUAGAAAGGAAUUAAAGAGAAAACGAGAGUUUAUGUAAAAGAGAGUUAUAGAAUUUAUAGUGAUGUUUUGUUUUAAUUAGAAAAAUGUUGAGAGUUGUUUCAGAACGACACGUCAGUGGACGUGGCAGAGUGAACACGUGACGGGGAGGUGCUGAGACCUAGCGGAGAACGGAGGAACCGCAAACGAGGGUUGGCGCACCUGAUGGAAUUCGGUGACGUCACGGGCUCAUACGGAGACGUGGACAGGCCGUGACCUUGUUUUGAUCAGCUGUACGGUAACUUAGCGAUAAGAAAAUAGACUAUUGGUUAAAUAAAUUUAAAUUUAAGUGUGUUUUAGAAGAAGAGGAACUUUCAGUAUAUUCCUUAAGAUGAGCUGAGCAGCAGUCCAGUUUACAAGAUGACAAGAGUUCGAGAGACAAGAUACAAGAUCACUGAAACAAGAGCCAAGACUGAAGAUACAAGAGAAGAGAAAGCUGGCAGCCAUGGACUUACAAGUGGAGAUUAAUAAGGUUAUGUAAAGUUUUAUUUUUUUAUGGAAGACAGUAACUGGAGUUUUUUUUUGUUAUAAACAUUAUUUACAGAACUUUUUAGGUUAUAGUAAUGUAAUGGAACUAGUGAGUUGUGGUAGCUGUCAAAAAGAACUAAUACCUUAAGUUUAAUUUUUAAAGUUAAUUUUCUUAAUUUACAGAGGGAUUAGUAGUUUUUUUUAAACCUUAUUUAGGUUGGAAUUUAAAUACAAUAGCUUAUUAUAAAUGUGUACGAACAGUUCAAGUUCACAGUACUGAUAGGUAGGUCAGAUGAUCUUAUUGAUUUUGAUGAUUUGUUGUUUUGAGUUGAUUUUUAAGUGUUGUGAAUUAGACAAUGAAAUAGUUCUGAAAACUUAAAUUAUUUCAAGCUAAGAAAUAGUAAAGUUAAUUGUAACUCAAAGGACACCAGAAUUUAAUUUUUUUUUGAAUUAGUAAUGUUUGAAAAUUUUAUACUUUACAAGAAAGGUUAUAAACAAACAGAUCGGAUGGAACAAGGAUGCAGUAAAUCACAAUUUCAUUUAGAAUUAUUGAUUAGCUUUUGAGGUUAUGAAGUAAAAGUAAUUAUAGUUUAAAAGUUUGAAUAAAAAAAAAUGUUUUUUUUUAUUUGUUUGAAAUAGAAAGUUUAAAAGUUAAUUAGUCAUGAUCUAGGUGGGUGAUGGGGUGGGAAUUGGCCACUCUUUUUCCCUAUAACCUCCCUAACAUGGCCUUCUAUUACAACUAACAGAAAUAAAGAAGAAGAAAAAUGAAGAAUUAUUAGUUAGAAUGUUUCUUUCAUGAAGAUACCUGAUGAACUUUUACUGUUUGGAAGAAUAGAAGCAAGGUUAGUCAGAUAUUUUUACUCAGAAGAAGAAGAAGAUAAAGCAGUUUUAUGACUCGACAAGCCAGAGAUUGGUGUUUCCCCUCUGCGCUUCUAUUGACUACGUUGUUUACUCUCAUGGGAUAGCUGGUUCGGCACCAUGGAGAGAGAUUGGUGGGCAUUGUGGUUGCCCCCAGAAGAAAAGAAGAGUAGAAGAGGUUAUGGGUGGGUCAUGUGAACUGACCUUCAACCCAGUUACUUCGUGGGGACUAUUUGCUGUAUAGAGAAGAUCAAGACUCAAGAGUUAGGGAAAAUCAUUGGAGGUCAUGUUUCCCUUCCUUAAGUUUUUCCUAUCAAAUUAUUUGCCUGAUUAGAUUAUGCUAAGGGUGGGAUACUUUAUGUUAGCAGUUGAAUUAAUUAAUUUUAUUUUUUUGUGUGUUUGCAUCCUUGCCCAUCGAUUGCAGUUUAGUAGUUAGUUUUGUAUUUGUCAGGCGUGAUGGUAAUGCCUGUUGAUGAUGUUUCAGAAUUGUAAUCUGUUCGUGAUGAGGAUGGCACAACUCCGAAGCAGAUGUGGGGAGAAGUUGUGAGCUGCCCUGGAAGCCAGUCCAGUAGCUGUUGGAGUUGAGUGGUGUUUGCUGAUGGCCAGCCCAGGGAGCUACUCUUCUCGACAACACUGACUUCAAGGAGUUGCACCAACCUUCACGAGAUAAGAGUUUAAUUAAUUUGAAACACUGAUAAUUUUGUAAGGACACUUAAUUUUUUUUAAGAACAAAAGAAGUAUUGUGACAAACGGAAACUGGAAAAAAAAAUAAUAAUUAUCAAGAAUUUGCACAUUGUUUAACGAAUACUGAGAAACUAAGAACAGUAAUUUAAUUUGUAAAGAGAGCUUCACUAACAGAACAAUUUUUUUUGAAUUGAGAACUCGAGCCUCUGAAGGUUCCUGUGAGAACAAACCAGAUAAAAGUUUUACAUUUAAUUUUAUGAAUACUUGUUGUUUUAAAAUAAAUCUUAUGCAGAAUCUAGAUGUAUGUUCAGACAGCAAGGAACUAAGAAAAUUAUUAUUUUUGUGAAAUGAGGAAUUUAUAGUUAUGGUUUAAUGGAAAAAGACAAUUUGUAAUGUUGAGGUAGCUCGAUGGGGCUCGAGCUCUGUGAGGGGAGGGUUAUGUCGCGGGUUGAAAUUUUGCAGGGUUGUUGAAAUCAAAUUUAGGGACUUUACUGACGGGACUCUGGGCUGGCUGCUCUGUUCACUCGUCAGCGCAAGUGGCGUGACCAUGUAAUUGGGGCACGGGGCCGGCGCGGCGCGCUGCGGGCUUGCAGAAUUUUGUUUGUUUGUUUGGCCGCGCGCUGGCGCAGCCACGGGCCGCAGUUACUGGGGCGCGCUGUCGUAACAAGCCGCGCGGUGUGGCCUGCACAUCGGGGUAGAGGGGGGGGUAGUCUUCCCAGAUGUUCUAGUUAGUUGUUUAGUAAAUUUGACUUCAAUAACGAGCUUUUGUUAUGGUAGGCGCGGCAGGGCGCGCGAAUUUAAGCGCAAGUGAGUGGUGACUCGGAGCUCACUCAGGCGGAGGCUAUGCGUCUCACCUGUGGUCACGAGUUGUUAGUUCGUUCGUGAUGUAGGAAUUCAGGCUCACUCAGGCGGAGGCUAUGCGUCUCACCUGUGGUCACGAGUUGUUAGUUCGUUCGUGAUGUAGGAAUUCAGGCUCACUCAGGCGGAGGCUAUGCGUCUCACCUGUGGUCACGAGUUGUUAGUUCGUUCGUGAUGUAGGAAUUCAGGCUCACUCAGGCGGAGGCUAUGCGUCUCACCUGUGGUCACGAGUUGUUAGUUCGUUCGUGAUGUAGGAAUUCAAGCUUUCGGGCGGAAGCUAUGGCCGACGCCAGAGGCCACGAGUCGUUUAAUUUAAGUUAGGUCAUAAUGUAGUCAUCUUCAAGCUUUCGGGCGGAGGCUAUGGCCCUCGUCAGGGGUCACGCGUCAUAGUUUUUAAAAUGUAAUGUUCGUUCGGGAUUUCAAGGGCAGGAGAGGCCCCUACGUUAUUUUUUUAAAGUAAUCGAUCAAGAAAGGCUUUUCGGAAAAUGUGAGUAUGGACUUAUCUUUGUUUUAAUUUUAAGUAUUAAUUAUGAUUUGAGGUAUUCGGAAGGACUAGGGAAGUGUUUAGUGAAGUUCUCUCAUUCUCUCUCUUGUAAGGUCGUUCAAUCGUUAAGGAAGUAAAGAGAUUAUUGUUUUAAAUUGUAAUCCCGCUAUUUAAAUGUUCUUUAAAAUGAUGUUGAGUAUUUGACUUUAAGAAUAAAAUAAUUUUAAUUAAGUAUUAUGUUAUUUUGCAAAAUCUCCUUAGUUCAGCUCUCACCAGACAUCCUGUACGGGAUGACGAACCUAUGAUCCUAGGUACAGUAAAGUAUUUUAUGAAGUUAAGACUAGUUGAUGCCAAGCGAGUUGUUUCUAUGUAAAGAGCUACGAUUCUCGCCCCCCCCCCUCUGAAGGUGGAUCGUGACAGAAAUGGCGGUGGCACCGGCUAGGUACACGUGACAAU